RNAcentral lists this ribosomal RNA (453 nucleotides) under uncultured bacterium. RNAcentral's name for it is "bacterial SSU rRNA". It matches the Rfam family "Bacterial small subunit ribosomal RNA", at positions 340 to 786 of the family's 1533-position model. The record is from RNAcentral.
UACGGAAGGCAGCAGUGGGGAAUAUUGCACAAUGGGCGCAAGCCUGAUGCAGCCAUGCCGCGUGUAUGAAGAAGGCCUUCGGGUUGUAAAGUACUUUCAGUCGUGAGGAAGGUGUUAAGGUUAAUAACCUUAGCAAUUGACGUUAGCGACAGAAGAAGCACCGGCUAACUCCGUGCCAGCAGCCGCGGUAAUACGGAGGGUGCGAGCGUUAAUCGGAAUUACUGGGCGUAAAGGGCACGCAGGCGGUUAAUUAAGUUGGGUGUGAAAUCCCCGGGCUUAACCUGGGAAUGGCAUUCAAGACUGGUUAGCUAGAGUCUUGUAGAGGGGGUAGAAUUCCAUGUGUAGCGGUGAAAUGCGUAGAGAUGUGGAGGAAUACCGGUGGCGAAGGCGGCCCCUGGACAAAGACUGACGCUCAUGUGCGAAAGCGUGGGGAGCAAACAGGGAUUAGAUACC